Molecule: long non-coding RNA, 3325 nt
Filed under: Nicotiana benthamiana
Lineage: Eukaryota; Viridiplantae; Streptophyta; Magnoliopsida; Solanales; Solanaceae
Description: long non-coding RNA (NBEN_LNC004856)
Source: RNAcentral
AACAACAGUUAACUUGUGGUUUGCCACAGUGAAGAAAAGCUGCUGAUUUAGUGCAGCAUUGAUAACUCGAAGGAGGCUGGUCUCACCAGAGUCCACAAGCACUAUGAUAGUAUCUGCAUAAAGGUGAAUCCAACAUGAUAGCUGAGCAUUUUAUUUAUUCUGAAUCCAAACUAAUGAACGUUCGCAUGAACUAGUUAGUAUGAAAAUAUCUUCAUAUAUAUCUUUAUUGAGCAUUAGUAUCCACAUGCUUUUUGUUGAUUAUCAUAGGAGAGCAUUGAAGUUUUCAAAACACUUAAGAGAUACUUUUAGCUCUGCUUUGCCAUCAUGAAUCUUAGUGUACAAGGAGUAGAGAUACCAGCUCUAUUGAUUAUGUUUUCAAUAUUUCAAAGGUAUGUUUCUUGGUAUAUGUUUCAAGAAUUUAUUACACCAUUAAAUCAGUUAUAACAUACUCCCUCCCUCUAUAUCAAUUUCUAGAACAGGCUCUCAUAAUUAAUUAGUCUGUUCCAAAAAGAAAAAAAUAUUUUUAUAUUUGGAAAAUUUUAACUUUGAACUUUUCAUUUUACCUAUUUUACCUUUAAUAAGAAAUUUUUAUAGCCGCACAAAUGUUACGGCCCCACAAAUCUUUUACCCUUUAAGCUUUUAAAUUCACAAAUUUAAAAUCCUUGUUUUUUUAAAUCUUCGUGUUGAGUUAAACUAGUAAUGUCAUAUUAUAAAUUUAAACGGAGAGAGUAUAAGGUAAUCACAUUUACAAGUAAUCUGUGUGCUAAGCAGUAAGAAUUAUUAGAUACCUGGUAAAGAUGAUAAUCGCCUGUUAUCGCAGGUAAAUUAAACUACAUCAUCAAAAGUUAAAAAGUCUUUACACUAUGUUAAUGACUUAAAUUGGUCAUGUUUCAAAUGUUUCGGAGAUUAGAACAACCUUUACUUGAACACCUGUAGAAGUCACCUGGUUGACCAUUGAUGGUGUAUGCAUCUGAUACAUUAGGUGCUGCACCCGUUCGUGUGGCCUGUCUUACAACAUCAAUAGGGUUUGCAUCCCACCACUCACCUAAUCACAAAAUGUCAAACCAUAAUUUUGAUCUGGAACUACUGCUUGUCUGGUAGUAUUUGUUUUCAAUUCUUUCGCUUAUCUUGGGCAGGAAUGAGUACCUAGCAGAAUGGGGGUCUCUCUUCUGGGCUUAGGAAAUGGGUAGAAUUCUCCUUCUUUUGGGUGGAUGAUUAAAGCUCCGUAUACAGUGGCCCUGAGCCAUGAGCUGUGAGCGUGCCACCAAAGUGUGCCUUCCUGUUCUUGAAUUGUAAAGCGGUAAGUGUAACUCCCUCCUGGUCUAAUUGGGCAUUGUGUUAUAAAUUCUGGUCCAUCUGCCCAUGCUGUUCUUAUUUGCUUAACUCCAUGCCUAUCGAAAUGCAACAAAUUAAAUUGUAAAAACCACACGAAAUAAUAUUGCAUAUGUAUGAUAUCAUUGCGUUCAACAUAUAUAUAUAUAUAUGUAUAUAUAUAUAUUCAUUUUGCAUUAUGACAUGCAUGCUUCUUACCAGUGAAUAGUGACAUUGUAUCGAGCUCUGUUGACUACGUUGACGACUAACGUAUCACCAUUAUUCACUUCCAAUGUUGGUCCAGGGAAUUGUCCAUUCACAGUUAUAGUGUUAUGGGUCUUGCACAGCCUCUUUACUGGUGUUGCUUGAAUCUGUUCCAUAACUACAGAGGUUAGGAUUCUCCAAUUCUAAAAGAAAUUAAAAAUGUUAGCCAGACAAAGAAUUAAGGGAAACAUGAAUGACAUACAACAAAAUCAUGGUACUGAGUUUUCGCAUUUGCAAAGAGAAGUAAAAUGGAGAUGAAGGAAAAAUAGCACAAAAGGUUGGCCAUGCUAUUGAAGGCAUCCAAUAUUAUGGUUCUUUUCUCAACUAAACUGUCACUUAAUGGAAAAUUCAUGCGUAAUGCUUAUUUUUAAAAGAAUAGAGAGAGGGUGGUUUGAGGUUGGCAGAUUAGGUUUUGAUUUAGCAUGAAGGUCAGCUUAAAGGGCAGAACUUAGAAGUUGGUGCACCCACUAUAUUUCAAUUACUGCACCAAUUCAUCAAUGCUUGUUUCAUAAGUCUCUCUUGAGGUUACUAUUUUAUGUUUUCACUUCACAUUGGUUUUCCACCAAAGAGAUGUUUCUUGUUAUGAUUAUACACAACACCACCUAUCUAUCGCAUUAAUUAAAGGAAACUUUUCCUUGUAUCGUUAAUCUUGCUUGCUAGACAACCCAAUCUUGUUUGACUUAAAAAUUUCAGUUAGAAGAACCUAAAACACGACAUGCUUUGAUUUUUUCAACGACAUCAUCUCAAUGAACAACGUCAAAAAGAAAUCCAAAGAUGUUGAACAAAUUGCUCCGGAUUAAGCAUAGUUGGAAUGACUAAUUGAUUCAAACGUCUUAAAAUAGUUUGCUAUCAAACCCAACGCCCGUUUGUGUUUGAACUUUAAUUGAGUUGCCAUCUCCCUAUUUCUAGAAUUGUGCUUUUUCUUCUGUUAUCUUGAAAGCUCGUAUUCAUAGUUUUAGUUACGAAUGCUUGUGAUUUAUGAACUCUUUUAAGUAUAUCUCUGUUUUAGUAGUGAAAAACUGAGAAAUUAUGUAACAAAAAUUAUGUAUGUUAAUUUUUUUUUUUUUUUGGGAAAAAAAAUUAGGACAGCAUCGGUUUUAUGGCUAAUAUCUUGAGGAAGUGGCAAUACAUGCCAGUAUAUUAAUUACAAAAAUCAACAGCCAACAGUCAGAGUUACAUAUUCUACUAAAGCACUUUCCAACAAACACUCUUAGAGCCCGUUUGGACAUAAGAAAUUUAUUCUUUUUUUCGAAAAAAUUUCAUUUUUUUUUAAUUCAGUAUUUGAGUUGUUUUUGAAUUUCACUCAGAUCACUCACAAAAUUUUAAGAAAAAAUUUCACUUUUUUGAAAUUUUACAAUUCUUAUGUCCAAAGAACAAUGAAUAAGUAUCAUCAUAAUUUUGGGUAGAAGGAAGAAGCAGAAGUGUCCAUCUUUUGAAACUUGAGCAGCAGAGUGACUCUGUCAAAGAAAAGCAACAGAUGGCCUUAAAGCACAAAUCUUGAUGUCAUAAUUAGUUGUACAAGCUGAGAGCCCAUCCCAGUUAGUUGACUUCACAUUAAUAUUUUUCCUGGCAAGAGAGGUAGCACUUGUAUUAUUAUUAGUAUGAGCAAUACCAAUGUAACUACUACAAUUGCGACACAAAAGUUUAGUAUGUUGUUUAAAGAAACCCCACGAGUUUUUGGACCUAAAAUAAGGUGAGCAUCUAAGUUUAUUUAUCUGAAUAAAUCUGCUCUCAUCAAUGCAUAAAAAUG